Molecule: ribosomal RNA, 433 nt
Filed under: uncultured bacterium
Lineage: Bacteria
Description: partial 16S ribosomal RNA
Rfam family: Bacterial small subunit ribosomal RNA
Source: RNAcentral
AACGGACGCUGGCGGCAUGCCUAACACAUGCAAGUCGAACGAGACCUUCGGGUCUAGUGGCGCACGGGUGCGUAACGCGUGGGAACCUGCCCUUAGGUUCGGAAUAACUCCCCGAAAGGGGUGCUAAUACCGGAUAAUGUCUUCGGACCAAAGAUUUAUCGCCUUUGGAUGGGCCCGCGUUGGAUUAGCUAGUUGGUAGGGUAAAAGCCUACCAAGGCGACGAUCCAUAGCUGGUCUGAGAGGAUGAUCAGCCACACUGGGACUGAGACACGGCCCAGAAUCCUACGGGAGGCAGGAGUGGGGAAUAUUGGACAAUGGGCGAAAGCCUGAUCCAGCAAUGCCGCGUGAGUGAUGAAGGCCUUAGGGUUGUAAAGCUCUUUUACCCGGGAUGAUAAUGACGGUACCGGGAGAAUAAGCUCCGGCUAACUCCGUG